CCCCGCGCUCCCAACAAAUCGACUCCGCGGCGAGCGCCGGCAUCUCAUGAUCUCAUGGCCCCGCGGGACGGCGCCGGCCGAUGAGGUCACAGCCCCGCGUCCCGGGCCGCCCCGGGCUGCGCGCCGCCGCCUCCGGGCGCCCCGCGCGGGUCCCGACCCCGAGCCCGCGCCUCCUCGGCCUCCGCGGACAAAGGAGGUCCCUGAGGCGAAGGGCAGAGCUACCGUCUGCCUCCUUCCCACGUGAGCCCUCUGACUUUCCCCUUCGUCCCCUAGCUGUCCCCAACACCUCCGCCCCUUUGUCACAGCUCCUCUCUGCUCUGAUGGGAACAGUGAUCAGGGCCACGCUUGGCCGGUGCCCGCGAUGUGUUGAGCACUUUAUAUUAAAAGUCUCUGUUCCACAUGACAAACCCACCGGAGAGGUAUUAUCGGGACUCGUCUGCGGAUGAGAACGGGGCUCCGAGAGGGGAAGUGACUUCCUGCAGAGCUGGGAUUUGAUUCCACGGCACAGCCUUUCUAUGACUCCACACCACCUUCUCCAGAAAAAGAUGAAGCCUUCCCGAAGAUGGAAGUCUGAGCCUCGUGGUCCAACUACUUGACUCGCCGUGAAGUCCCUCUGGUGCUCACUCAGAGCCUAUUAUUUCUACGUUUACUACAGUACUGACAAGCUCGACGGUGCGGUUUCCCGACUAGCAGUGUCCUUGGUACCAGAGAGGAGAGGGGAGGAGGUGCUUGUUGACUGGCCCUGAUCUAACAUCUGCUGCCAAUCCUCCUCUUUUUGCUUGAGUAAGAUUG
Molecule: long non-coding RNA, 792 nt
Organism: Equus quagga
Lineage: Eukaryota; Metazoa; Chordata; Mammalia; Perissodactyla; Equidae
Exons: 3
Source: RefSeq, a predicted model, not a curated record